This 253-nucleotide ribosomal RNA is filed under the name uncultured prokaryote. RNAcentral describes it as "partial 16S ribosomal RNA". It matches the Rfam family "Bacterial small subunit ribosomal RNA", at positions 524 to 776 of the family's 1533-position model. The record is from RNAcentral.
UACGGAGGAUGCAAGCGUUAUCCGGAUUUAUUGGGUUUAAAGGGUGCGCAGGUGGUUUAAUAAGUCAGUGGUGAAAGUCUGCCGCUUAACGGUAGGAUUGCCAUUGAUACUGUUGGACUUGAAUAUGGAUGAGGUAGGCGGAAUGUGUAGUGUAGCGGUGAAAUGCUUAGAUAUUACACAGAACACCGAUUGCGAAGGCAGCUUACUAAUCCGUGAUUGACGCUGAGGCACGAAAGCGUGGGGAUCAAACAGG